AGAGUUUGAUCCUGGCUCAGACGAACGCUGGCGGCAGGCUUAACACAUGCAAGUCGAGCGGGCCCUUCGGGGUCAGCGGCGGACGGGUUAGUAACGCGUGGGAACGUGCCCUUUGCUCUGGAAUAGCCCUGGGAAACUGGGGGUAAUACCGGAUGUGCCCUGAGGGGGAAAGAUUUAUCGGCAAGGGAUCGGCCCGCGUCUGAUUAGGUAGUUGGUGUGGUAACGGCGCACCAAGCCGACGAUCGGUAGCUGGUUUGAGAGGAUGAUCAGCAACACUGGGACUGAGACACGGCCCAGACUCCUACGGGAGGCAGCAGUGGGGAAUCUUAGACAAUGGGCGCAAGCCUGAUCUAGCCAUGCCGCGUGGGUGAUGAAGGCCUUAGGGUCGUAAAGCCCUUUCGCCGGGGAAGAUAAUGACGGUACCCGGUAAAGAAACCCCGGCUAACUCCGUGCCAGCAGCCGCGGUAAUACGGAGGGGGUUAGCGUUGUUCGGAAUGACUGGGCGUAAAGCGCGCGUAGGCGGGCUGGAAAGUUGGGGGUGAAAUCCCGGGGCUCAACCCCGGAAUGGCCUUCAAGACUCCCAGCCUAGAGUUCGAGAGAGGUGAGUGGAAUUCCGAGUGUAGAGGUGAAAUUCGUAGAUAUUCGGAGGAACACCAGUGGCGAAGGCGGCUCACUGGCUCGACACUGACGCUGAGGUGCGAAAGCGUGGGAGCAAACAGGAUUAGAUACCCUAGUAGUCC
This 740-nucleotide ribosomal RNA is filed under the name uncultured bacterium. Its description in RNAcentral is "bacterial SSU rRNA". It matches the Rfam family "Bacterial small subunit ribosomal RNA", at positions 8 to 796 of the family's 1533-position model. The record is from RNAcentral.